UACGUAGGGGGCAAGCGUUGUCCGGAUUUAUUGGGCGUAAAGAGCGUGUAGGCGGUUUGGUAGGUCCGCUGUGAAAACUCGAGGCUCAACCUCGAGACGCCGGUGGAAACCAUCAGACUAGAGUCCGGAAGAGGAGAGUGGAAUUCCGUGGUGUAGCGGUGAAAUGCGCAGAUAUCAGGAAGAACACCCGUGGCGUAAGGCGGCUCUCUAGUACGGUA
Molecule: ribosomal RNA, 218 nt
Filed under: uncultured bacterium
Lineage: Bacteria
Description: partial 16S ribosomal RNA
Rfam family: Bacterial small subunit ribosomal RNA
Source: RNAcentral